GCCGAGCCGGGACGUCCCGAAGCGCUCCCGGGAGGGGCAGCCCCGGCACCGUCGCCCCGCGCUCGGGAACCGCUGGCCGUGCCCCGGGGCGACAGCCUCUGCCAAAGCCGUAGGGUCUGUGUGCGGAAAGUGCCACGUGUGAGUGUGUCGAUUCAUAAAUGCCUAAAAUGCAAGCUAGUUGAAAACCUAACUUCAGAGGAGCUGGAGCAGAACAGCUAUGAAACAUUCUGCUGCAAUCGUGUCUUUACACCACUGAAAAUAUUGCUAUCCAGUAUCAAAUGAAUACAGUAUAAAUUAGAAAUAUCAGACAUAUACAGCUACAGCCACAAAUCUAGAUGAACGACUGCCAAAUGGCAACAGGUACAUAUUCCUGUCAUUCCAAGAGCUGGAGACACCACACAUCUAAAGCCAAUAUGUAGGCAGUUCAGACUGUAUGGCUUUAGUAGGGUUGUGCUUUCAUGAAACAUACCUCGCUGAGUGACAGCCAGGCACCAGAGGUGGUUACUGUCUUGCAGGAUUGUUGCCAAAACGAUUACAAUAUGAAACUUAAGAAGUCCAAUCCCUAACAGCAGGAGGUAGAACAUACAAACUUCAUCAUCCCAGUUGUCGAGUGACAGUGUUUUAUAAAUGUCAUGAAUAAUGUAUAAAACAACUUAUUUUUUUGUACUGAACAUUUUGAGAGUUCAUGCACUCACACCGGAAGGGCAUGCUUUGGAAUGGGAAUGCGAGACGAGAGGCUAGAAAGAUUCAAAGCUGAACACAGUGCACACAAAGGAAUUUGUGAACCCAGCUCCCUGCUUAAUUACUCAAGAGCUGGUCAGGAGCCAUGCCA
This is a long non-coding RNA of Gallus gallus (chicken), 832 nucleotides long. NCBI's taxonomy places the organism in Eukaryota, Metazoa, Chordata, Aves, Galliformes, Phasianidae. The record is from Ensembl.